Schistosoma mansoni is the source of this 47-nucleotide non-coding RNA. The record is from Rfam. NCBI's taxonomy places the organism in Eukaryota, Metazoa, Platyhelminthes, Trematoda, Strigeidida, Schistosomatidae.
AUCCAGAUGACGAGUCCCAAAUAGGACGAAAUAUAAGUAAACUGGAU